GAUGAACGCUGGCGGCGUGCCUAAUACAUGCAAGUCGAGCGUCCGGACGAGACGCUUGCUUCUCUGUUGUUAGCGGCGGACGGGUGAGUAACACGUGGAUAACCUACCUAUAAGACUGGGAUAACUUCGGGAAACCGGAGCUAAUACCGGAUGAUAUUUUGAACCGCAUGGUUCAAGAGUGAAAGACGCUCUUGCUGUCACUUAUAGUUGGACCCGCGCUGCAUUAGCUAGUUGGUAAGGUAACGGCUUACCAAGGCAACGAUGCAUAGCCUACCGAAGAGGGGGAUCGGCCACACGGGAACUGAGAGACGGUCCAGACUCCUACGGGAGUCAGCAGUAGGGAAUCUUCAGCAGUGGGCGAAGGCCUGACGGAGGAACUCCGAGUGAGUGAUGAAGGUCUUCGGAUCGUAAAACUCUGUUAUUAGGGAAGAACAUAUGUGUAAGUGACUGUGCACAUCUUGACGGUACCUAAGCAGAAAGCCACGGCUAACUACGUG
RNAcentral lists this ribosomal RNA (497 nucleotides) under uncultured bacterium. RNAcentral describes it as "partial 16S ribosomal RNA". It matches the Rfam family "Bacterial small subunit ribosomal RNA", at positions 28 to 507 of the family's 1533-position model. The record is from RNAcentral.